AAUAAAAAAAUAAACUUGGAACAUCUACAUAUAAUAUUGGAAUAUGAUAAAAGAAAAUGGGAACACGAAGGUUGGAACUUUAGAACCGAAAAUGAGAAAGUCUAAUAUGAUCUAGAGACUUAUCUAUAAUAUUGGAAUUUGAUUAAAAAAAAUGGGAAGAUGAAAGUUAGAACAUUAGAAUCUAAAAAUGAGAAAGUUUAACCAAAUUAGAGACUUAUCUAUAAUGUUAAAAUUUGACCCCAAAAAAAAUGGAACACAUGAAACUCAAAAUUUGCAGUUAACUAGUUAGAACUUUAUAGCCCAAACAUGAGAAAGUUUAAGUAAAAAUAGAGAUUUAUCUAUAAUGUUGGAAUCUAGCAAAGAAAAAUAGGAACAUCAAAUCUAAAAUUAGUAGUUAAUUAGUUGGAAUUUUAGAACCAAAAAAUGAGAAAGUUUAACAAAAAUUAGAGAUUUAUCUAUAAUGUUGGAAUUUAAAAAAAAAAAGAACAUAAACCUGACAUUGAUGGUUUAAUUAAUUGAAACUUUAGAAUCUAAUAUGAGAAAUUUCAACUAAAAUUAGAGACUAAUGUUUAAUGUUGGAAUCUAACAAAAAAUUUAAGAACAUGAAACCUAAUACUGUGGUUAAAUUAAUUAGAACUUUAGAACCCAACAUGAGAAAACUUAGUUAAGACAAGAGAUUAGAGACUUACCCAUUAAUAUUUAGGCUGUGACUAUGUUGGAGCAUAUCUAAAAUAGAGCACGAAUCUCAACUAUACACACAGAAUGAUAAAUAAUAAUAAAAAACUCAUUAUAACUUUAAUGGUAUGUUAAGAAUAAGUGCUAACAAUUCUAACAUAGCCAAACCCUAAUAUUUAAUACUUAAGUUUGAAGUUAACCCCUUCCCCCAAAAAACAUUUACUCCGGCCCCGUAACUUUUGGCGAGUGGUCCACGAAUCUUUGCCUCAUUAAGUGCUCUUUUCUCUUUUUCUGAGUUGAUAAUUGGUUAUAUUUUUCUAAAAAAGGACGAUCAUUAAUGGUUCUCUCUCAUUAGAUGUACUAGUGGUCACAUCACCAAGACUUUUUUUUUUUUUUUUGCUUUUUUGUUUCUGUUUUUGUUUUUGUUUU
This 1104-nucleotide long non-coding RNA is filed under the name Citrus x clementina. RNAcentral describes it as "Citrus clementina (C. clementina) long non-coding RNA (CCLE_LNC001778)". Lineage: Eukaryota; Viridiplantae; Streptophyta; Magnoliopsida; Sapindales; Rutaceae. The record is from RNAcentral.